Molecule: long non-coding RNA, 4801 nt
Organism: Antechinus flavipes (yellow-footed antechinus)
Lineage: Eukaryota; Metazoa; Chordata; Mammalia; Dasyuromorphia; Dasyuridae
Exons: 2
Source: RefSeq, a predicted model, not a curated record
AAAAGGGAAAAAAAUUAGCAUUUUUCUAUAUAUAUAUGUGUGUAUAUAAUAUAUGAAAAUAUGUAUGUGCAUAUAUAUAUAUUUUUUUACAAAUACAAAUACUCUAGGAUGUUUUUUCAGUAAUAAAAUUACAAGACGUUAUAUGAGCAUUACAUUUCUUUCCAAAGCACUGAAUAGGUUAAGAAACACUAAAACCUCUUAUGUAAUUGUAUCCUAGCUACUAUAUUUAGCCAGCAGAGGGAAAAUGCACCAUUUUGAGGAAUUUUUAAAAAUUCCUGAGUCUAGAAACUAAGACAAAAAAUGUAAUAUUAUUUCACAUUAUUCAAAAAGCAAAAACUGAUUCCUCAAAUGAUAUAGGUACGAUAUAAGAUAUUAAAAUCUAAAACCAUAAUGCUACCUAUGAAUUUUUUGGGGAAAGGGGAUUUCUGGCUCUUCAACUGGGGGGGAAAUACUCAGUGUGAAAUAUUUUAUCUUAAACAACUGUUAACUGGUAGAAAAUCUGGAGAAAAAUAAGAAGUUGGUCAUGAAAUAAAUAAGUAACUACAUUUCCCAUUAGGUUUAUUAACCUUGGUUACUAUGCCCAUUAAGUGAAUUAGAAUCUAAAUUUACAUCCUACUUACUAGCAUACUUUUAACAAUGCAAUAUAUAUAUAUGUAAUAUUUAUAUAGAAAGCUGAACAGCAACACAUAGAGUAAUAAAUGGCAAAUUAAUUGGUCCCAAUCUUUCUACCCAUGUUUUAAUCUAUAAUUGAGGUUAAAAUAAAAUCUCUUUCAGCAGGUGACUAUUUGUGAUGAUUACAUUUGUUGCUUUGCAUUUAUUAUCAGCUUUUGUUUAGGAAAAACAAAUACAAAAUGCUAAUAAUGGAACCAUCACCUUCAAUUUGUACUCUCCCGGUAUGCGUUUUGUAUCAAUUUUUACAAGAAAAGCCCAGUUUCAAGCUAAAAGCUGUGUUUUUCACAAGAAUUUGGCCAAGAGAAGGAUGAAGGAGGAUGGUGGAUUUCAAUCUGGAAGAUGUAUCCCCCAGUCCAUUUUACAGUAGAGGAAACAAGAAACACCCCCCAGGGUGCAUGGGGAUGGUAGAAAACCAAUUAUAGAAACAACAAUUUCAGAAGAGGCGCCACAUGGGUGACUGGCACCCGCCAAAUCAGCGCUUGUUUCGUGCAUUCAGACCGUGCUGGCCUGUCACCUCUCUCUGGUCUCAGGCCUGUCACCUACCAAAACAAGAUAAUUAUGGGGUUUUCCUCUUUUUAGUCACUUUCCAAGCAGCUCAAACUCUGUUAAUAAGAACACUGGGGUUUUGGAUAAAGUCACAACUUGGAAAAACCCUGAGCUUCUGGAAUAAUGGGUGUCAGCCCCCUUCCGCCCCGCCGUCUUCCCAAUUUUCCUGCAAGAGUCCUUUAGUAGGAGAGGGAAGCCUCCCAACCUCCAGGAGUAGCUGGGCCCAAAUGUUACACCCGGAACAUGGCGCAGGUCUCAGAUGACAGGUGGGGAACUGGCUCUGGCUCUGCUCCAAUAUACAGGUGUAAAUAACCAAGAAGUUCUAGGCUGUUUGUAAAUUCGUUGGGGGGUGGAUGGGGCCUCCCUGAGACUCGGCCGUCUUAUCUGAGAGCCGGGACUCCCUCUCGGGUGGCUGUCUUCCAGGGCUGGAGUCGGCUGGGAGUGAGAUAACGGCAGCAAGAAGCCGUUGUAGCGAGUGCUCCAUCAGCCCGGCAUGGCCAGCUCUGUCGGGAGCUAACAGAGCAGAGGGGACCCCACGUCCUCUUUGCUCGGAAGCUCCGGUUUGCUGGAGGGGAGCCCGGGGAGGAGGGCAGGGAAAGGAAGCUUGGGCUAUCUGGAUGCCAGCCUCUCUGGCUUUCAGUCUCCCACUCUGUGAAAGGAGGGCACUACAAGAGAUGGCCUCGGAGCUCCCUCUUGCCUCCUGGGCCUGAUUUCAGAGCAGAUCAGCCCCCCUCCUCCCGGGUUCUCCUUCAGCUCCAGCGUGGGGGGGUUCUAGCACAUCUUUGUUUCUAGCAACUUUUUUGCUUGGAAUUUCUCAUUAUGUGUUCUAAGUCCUCAGGAGAACAAUCUGCAAAAUCAUUUGAGUUCUGAAAAACACACAUGCUUGCUACCCCUACUCCCUGGGCAGUCGGAGAUCUCCCCCACGUCAGCCCCCUCUUCCCGUGGUUCACUUCACGGCCCACUCAUGUUCCUUCAUCCUGGCUGUCUCCUUAAAAAAGGGCAGCAGUGUUUUCUAACUUUUCUUUCUUAUAUUUAAUUUCGGGCCUAGCACGUCAUAGGAUGAAGCCACUGUAUGGGCUGGACCAGCAAGCCUCCUUCCCCCGGCCGUCCCGAGGUGCAGCCGAGAGUCGGGCCCAACGGACCAGGCUUUCCUCACGUUCCUUUGUGGGUCACGUGAGCCGUGGAGAACCUGGAUCAGUGUAAUGAGCUGCCUUAGAGCAGUGACCCAUUUAAUACACUGCCAUAAAACUAAAUAAAAUUUAAUUGUCAGAUGUGAUGUCCAAUGGCAGCCCACAGCAUUUCCGAAGAUUAAUGACCCCCCAGUGGGUACCGAGGCCCGUCUCCACUCCCAAUGCAAACCGAGGCUUCCCACGGACAUUUACGAUCAGAAAGGAAAGAUUCCAUCGACACGCUUACGUCAUUACACGUGAAUUCUGUGGUAAAGCAUUUCCCUCUCUUAGCUGAAGAACAGGACCAGAAGAAAGGGCAAUUGUUGAGGGGUUAAAAGCCUUCCCCUUAACAAGCAGACCCGGGUUCUAGUCUCAUCUGUGUCACUGAGCAUGGCCUUUGUCCUUUAGGCAGAGAACACAGGAUUCCAUGUAUAAUCGGUAUCCUGUUGCUUGCCUUCCCGAUGGGUAGAGAGGGGGAGGGAAACAAUUUGGAAGUCGAAAUUGAAAAAAAAUCAAUGGCAAAUUUUUAUAAGUAAUUGGGAAAUACUUAAUGAAACUAUCGCCAUACGUGCAGAAAAGAUGCCUGUCUGCACUGAGAGGGAGCUGGCGAAUGGGAGCGGGAGGCAGGGAUGACCCUAUUUCUGUGAUGCAGCCCAGGCUUUGGAUUUCUGAAGGCCAUUAGAUAGUCCCAAGGAUGUUCCCUUAGUGACCCGUGGCCCUGGAGCCCACAGCUCCUCCUGGCGUGGCAGGGCCACCGGAGCCAUCCCUGGGCCCAAAGUCCUCCCAGAUCUCAGCCUUUUCAAAUGCCUUGGGGGGAAAUCUUUCCAAUGACACAAAGGCAUAACUAUCAUUAAAUUAAUAAAUUCACUAACGUAUAUUGCUUUUGUGAAUGAUAAAUGCAAAAUGAGAAUAAAAGCCCAAAUCAGUGGCCCGGACUGUCUCUCAAACCCCAUCUCGCCCCCAUCCCCAUUCUGUCGGCCAAGCUCAAAACCUUGGAAUCAACCUGGACUGCUCUCACUCCCAACCCUUAAACAGCUGGGAUCUCAGGGGCUGCUGGUUGGUGCAGUGGAUAAGAACACCAGCCCCAAAGUCAGGAGGACCCAAGUUCAAAUCUGGCCUCAGACACUUAAUGCUUCCUAGCUGUGUGACCCUGGGCAAGUCACUUAACCCCAAUUGCCUCAGCAAAAACAAAACCCCAAACCAGUUGGGAUCUCCCUCAGUUUCAGCCCCAGUGGCCUAAGGGGAACUCUCACAAGAGCUCUAAAUGCAGUAGUGGCUCCAACCAUUCCACCGCACAGGAACUCCCCAUGGAGGCAAUUCUAAGGGCGGUAAAGUCCAGCUCACGAGCCCGCCAUCUCUUCCACUGCCAACCUGCGGGGCCCUGGCGGGCUACAGCACUCCAGGACUUUAUCAUUUCUUGCCCGGCUUACCACAGCCACCCCCUAAGGAGGCUCCCAGCCUCAGGUCUCUCCAAUCUACUCCUCACACCAAAGUCUCCAAGGGACUCCCUCCCUGUCCCCAUAAGUCAGCCCUUCCUUUGCACUUCCAGAAAUGCAGGGCUAUACAAGGUGAAGAGAGAUAAGGCUCUGAACUGGCCAGGGGAGGGUCCCUGUGAGGCAUUCCGGCCUUAGAAAGCACAAAGUCACCUUUCUUCAGGAAAUUUUUUUGGGGGGAGGUGUUGAUGGGGGCUGUUAGAUAAUCUGGCUCAAGCUGAAGCAGCUGCAGGUUUAGCACUUCUGAUCUGGGCCCCUAGCAGCCCACCCCGGGAUUUUCUCGCAUUCAGUCACUAGGCCUCUCACCAAGGUCCUCCUCCCCAGCAGGGAGCCAAGGCUUUUUCCUUCAAGCUCCAGGGCCUCCCUGAACUUUCCAGGGCUGGGUCCAAAAGCAAGCCCGACUCCAGAGAAUUUCGGACAGCCUUGCUCUCCAAGUCCUUCCCGUUCACUCAGUGUCCAGCCCUUCGAGGAGGGCCCAUUUUUUGGUUCCGGAGCCCCUGCAGGUGGCCAGGCCCCAGUCCAGACCCACGUCGAACUCCCGCAGGCUGGAAAGCCCAAGCCCACAGCUCCAGCACCCCGAUACUGUUGCCUCUUCUUUGUUACAAUUACUGAAUUACCCAAUUUACUUCUAUGGAGGAACUCAAGUGAAGGAGAUUUUAAAUGAUCUCAUUUGCACUGACUUUACAACUAAAAGAAAAUAGAUUUGUGAUAGGAAAUAUUGCUCCCCGAUAAAGUAAGGCACCAUUACUUUCUAGGGGAAGCUGAAAUAUUCAUCUUAACUUUUUUUUUGGCAUCACAGAGCUCUUUGGCAAUGGAAGUCUCCCUCAUUCUCAGAAUAUUUUAAAAUAACUAAAUCCAACUUUAUAAACAAAAUAAGAUUAUAAUGGAAAUCACUUAUCUAUAAAGUUAUCCGAAUGUUAA